GAGUGGCGGACGGGUGAGUAAUGUCUGGGAAACUGCCCGGUGGAGGGGGAUAACUACUGGAAACGGUAGCUAAUACCGCAUAACGUCUUCGGACCAAAGUGGGGGAUCUUCGGACCUCACGCCACCGGAUGUGCCCAGAUGGGAUUAGCUAGUAGGUGGGGUAACGGCUCACCUAGGCGACGAUCCCUAGCUGGUCUGAGAGGAUGACCAGCCACACUGGAACUGAGACACGGUCCAGACUCCUACGGGAGGCAGCAGUGGGGAAUAUUGCACAAUGGGCGCAAGCCUGAUGCAGCCAUGCCGCGUGUAUGAAGAAGGCCUUCGGGUUGUAAAGUACUUUCAGCGGGGAGGAAGGCGGUGAGGUUAAUAACCUCGCCGAUUGACGUUACCCGCAGAAGAAGCACCGGCUAACUCCGUGCCAGCAGCCGCGGUAAUACGGAGGGUGCAAGCGUUAAUCGGAAUUACUGGGCGUAAAGCGCACGCAGGCGGUCUGUUAAGUCAGAUGUGAAAUCCCCGGGCUUAACCUGGGAACUGCAUUUGAAACUGGCAGGCUUGAGUCUCGUAGAGGGGGGUAGAAUUCCAGGUGUAGCGGUGAAAUGCGUAGAGAUCUGGAGGAAUACCGGUGGCGAAGGCGGCCCCCUGGACGAAGAC
Molecule: ribosomal RNA, 651 nt
Filed under: Pantoea eucrina
Lineage: Bacteria; Pseudomonadati; Pseudomonadota; Gammaproteobacteria; Enterobacterales; Erwiniaceae
Description: bacterial SSU rRNA
Rfam family: Bacterial small subunit ribosomal RNA
Source: RNAcentral